Molecule: long non-coding RNA, 2448 nt
Organism: Oxyura jamaicensis (ruddy duck)
Lineage: Eukaryota; Metazoa; Chordata; Aves; Anseriformes; Anatidae
Exons: 3
Source: RefSeq, a predicted model, not a curated record
AUGCACUCCAUGUUCACAGUUCGAUUAUUAACAGGGCUUUCACUUUAUGUCCCUACUCUGUGUAUUGGGUCAUGUUAAUUUUCUGCAAAUUCUUGAGAGAAAUAAAUUAGUCCAUAAAAUUGCCGUGAAAAUGGGGUUUAUUUGAUCUCUGUAAGUAAUGUAAUUUGAUUUUAAAAUAUUUGACAAGGUUGAAAAAUUGAUUUUUAGUUAAUACAGUAUGUAGUAAAUACAGUCUCUCUACCACUCCUGGAUUUCCUUUUAGUAGGUUAAACUUUUUUCAAAUGUGUUAUGUCAAAAUAUUUUAAUCUUUGUGAUCUUGUUUUAACUUUUUGUGUUAGUAUAUAAGUAGUUGGUAUCUGCUUCUGAGCUGCAUUGAUUAAUUGGAGUUAGUCAGAAAAAUAGCAUUAUUUCAGGCAGUGUAGUCCCUAAAUGCACAUAUAUUUGGGAAAAUGUUUGAAUUUCAAAAUUGUAUUUUCAUUACGGCUCCUGCAUUUAACUCAAAAUCAUUUUUGCAAACUUUUGUUUUCCGCAAAUUGGUUAUGUGAAUGCUCCCAAGAACAGACUUACACCAGAGAUGUUGAUUUUUCCCAGAAAUGUUUUCUUUAAUGAUAUUAGAAUGCAUAAAAUAUUUAUCUAACUUCAGUAUGUAUCAAAACAUUGGUCUACAUUUUGCUUUUUCAAAGAGUAUAAUUUGGAUUUUGUGAUGCUUCAGAUUUUAAUCUCUUUUCGCAGAGUGCCUGAAAGGGUGCUGGCUAUGUUAAAUUGUCUUUAGUUAAUCAAAUUAAUGGAAGUUAACAUGCAAGUCUUGGGGGGCUACUAGGAGCACACCAAACAAGAGUAGGCAUAGCCCCAGUAGUUGUGAAACCUGUUCCUUUAAUCAUGGUGUCUUGCCUCAGAGGAUUUGGAGGAGCGUAUGAGUGUCUUUUACUUGGUUUUGCUUUUAAGUAGAUUUUAUUUUGUUUCUGUCCUCACAGUGAAUAAAUAGGGGAGCUGAGCUUUUAUGUUUGCAGUUAGUUACAGAUAUUUGGAAAAAUGAAUUGAACUGUUCUGCUAAGAGCUAAAACCAGGAGAGGUUAUUUUGCGUGCAGGAAAUCCAUGGCCUCCUAUAGCUAUGCUUAAAAAUGUUGAAAUGUCGGUGAUAUUCUAAUCGCUGUAUAAGAUCCUGCUAAUUAUAGAGCUUGCUUCCCUGUAGACAGUUGAAAGCAGUUAGUUUGCAAUUUCAGUUACACAUGAGUGCAAAAAGACAAUCGCUGCAGAAAGUGUCAAACAAGUGAGCAAACAAAAGUUGAGCUUAGUAAAAUUAAAUAAAUAGUGUUAUUAAAAACAGGUUGUCAGAUGCUUGGGGUAGGCAAGGCAGAUCCUACUCCUUUUUGCAGAGAUUAGGGUGAGUUUACAUACAUGUAUGGGUAUAUCAUUCAUGAUUUUGAAGGCAUAAAAUCAUAUCAUAGAACUAUCAUUUCUCUUUAUUUUUUUUCUAACUUCCUCACCAACUGUUGAUCAAGGGAGUGAUGCAUGAUGAAACCAUUAACAAUAGUGACAGGUCAUUCUGGUUUAUUCUGAUUUAACAUAUAAUGUUCUGCUAACUUUUAUUGGAAGUCAUAUUUAUCAAAUAUUUUCAGUGUGGUGUGAUUGAAGUGGCACUCUAAAGGCAGUCAGUAAUCCAAAACCUCCCAUUUGUCUGCAUCAGUAACUCAGCAGGAGUUGGACGGUUUGGAAAAAGUUCAGUUUUAAGUAUAUGCUUUGACCUCCUGCUGAAGGCUGCUCCUGCACCUUUCCUUUCUUUUUCUUUUCUCCUCUCCUUCUCUUAUUCCUUCUUUUAGGGUGCUGUAUUUUUUGUGUGCGUGUGUGGGGGUGUUUGGUUGUUUUCAGCAAGGAUCGUAGAGUGUGAGGAACAGUCAAAAUGAUGUUUCAAGUAUGGGCUGGAAUCAAGGCAUAAUUGAGGGAAAAAAAUGCUCAGAUGAAGUUUGGAAUAGCAAUGAAUAGAUUUUUUUUUUUUUUUUUUUUUUGUCUUCGCAAUAGGUGGAAGCAUUCACUGACUUACAGUGGCCAUCACUACUUGAUCCUGUAUUUGGACAGUUUCUGUUUUUUUUUUUUUUUUUUUUUUAAUAUUUAUUUUGUUUUUAAUUUGUUUGCUUUAGUAAUGCUAUUUUUUGAAACAGUGUCAUUGUGAUUAUUAAAAUGAAGGACCCUAAUGGUAUGUAAACAGCCCAUUUAAAUUUUAUUGAGAACAGCCUGUCUCAGUACUUGGCAAAAUAUUAAGGCAUAGUCACACCCUCAAUUUAUACCAUUUUCAACAUGCUUCUGAGACUGCUUCCCUUUCUUUGUCUAACCAGGAAAGGAGGACAUAAGGCUCAAGCCUCUUUUGUUAUUGGUGUGAUACAAAUGUACGCCAUGAAAAGCCAAGACUGGGCUAUUGGGUUUACUGAGCAUCAUGGUUCAACAGUAAAA